This 254-nucleotide ribosomal RNA is filed under the name uncultured bacterium. Its description in RNAcentral is "partial 16S ribosomal RNA". It matches the Rfam family "Bacterial small subunit ribosomal RNA", at positions 524 to 776 of the family's 1533-position model. The record is from RNAcentral.
UACGAAGGGGGCUAGCGUUGCUCGGAAUUACUGGGCGUAAAGGGCGCGUAGGCGGCACUGUUAGUCAGGCGUGAAAGUCCUGGGCUCAACCUGGGAACUGCGCUUGAUACGGCAGAGCUAGAGGAUGGAAGAGGCUCGCGGAAUUCCCAGUGUAGAGGUGAAAUUCGUAGAUAUUGGGAAGAACACCGGUGGCGAAGGCGGCGAGCUGGUCCAUUACUGACGCUGAGGCGCGACAGCGGUGGGGAGCAAACAGG